AUUGAACGCUGGCGGCAGGCCUAACACAUGCAAGUCGAACGGUAACAGGAAGAAGCUUGCUUCUUUGCUGACGAGUGGCGGACGGGUGAGUAAUGUCUGGGAAACUGUCUGAUGGAGGGGGAUAACUACUGGAAACGGUAGCUAAUACCGCAUAAUGUCGCAAGACCAAAGAGGGGGACCUUCGGGCCUCUUGCCAUCGGAUGUGCCCAGCUGGGAUUAGCUAGUAGGUGGGGUAACGGCUCACCUAGGCGACGAUCCCUAGCUGGUCUGAGAGGAUGAGCAGCCACACUGGAACUGAGCCACGGUCCAGACUCCUGCGGGAGGCAGCAGUGGGGAAUAUUGCACAAUGGGCGCAAGCCUUAUGCAGCUAUGCCGCGUGUAUGAAGAAGGCCUUCGGGUUGUAAAGUACUUUCAGCGGGGAGGAAGGGAGUACAGUUAAUACCUUUGCUCAUUGACGUUACCCGCAGAAGAAGCACCGGCUAACUCCGUG
Molecule: ribosomal RNA, 490 nt
Filed under: uncultured bacterium
Lineage: Bacteria
Description: partial 16S ribosomal RNA
Rfam family: Bacterial small subunit ribosomal RNA
Source: RNAcentral